AAAGCACCUGUGGCAGCAUGGCUUCCUUUUCGUCCUGGCUGCUUGCCGGUUGCCACAUGUUCUGUGUGCUGAGCCCCCUGUCUGCUGGUCUGCCUCUCUGCCUCAUGUGAACUGGUGUCUGGUUUGCUAAGUGAGGUUGUUGCCUGCUGCUGGUGGAGUCAAGGCCCUCUCAGUGGUUCCCUGCACUGUUUGUAGUGAUGAGCACACCGGGACACAAUAGUUUGCACCUGUUGGCCUUGAUUGCUGUUUGCUGUGAGUUCAUGAGUGAUACUUCCAGUCUAAAUCAAUUUACAUUGUCUUUUGGAACCAAGUCUCUGUCUUAAUAAAGGUGUUGAACCUG
Notolabrus celidotus (New Zealand spotty) is the source of this 340-nucleotide long non-coding RNA. RefSeq lists it as uncharacterized. The record is from RefSeq and is a predicted model, not a curated record. The transcript has 4 exons. NCBI's taxonomy places the organism in Eukaryota, Metazoa, Chordata, Actinopteri, Labriformes, Labridae.